RNAcentral lists this ribosomal RNA (253 nucleotides) under uncultured bacterium. Its description in RNAcentral is "partial 16S ribosomal RNA". It matches the Rfam family "Bacterial small subunit ribosomal RNA", at positions 524 to 776 of the family's 1533-position model. The record is from RNAcentral.
UACGGAGGGUGCGAGCGUUGUCCGGAAUCACUGGGCGUAAAGGGCGCGUAGGCGGCGCGGGGAGUCAACGGUGAAAGCUCGGCGCUCAACGCCGAGUCGGCCGUCGAUACUCCCGUGCUCGAGCACUGUAGAGGCAGGUGGAAUUCCGGGUGUAGCGGUGAAAUGCGUAGAUAUCAGGAGGAACACCUGUGGCGAAAGCGGCUCACUGGACCACAACUGACGCUGAGGCGCGAAAGCUAGGGGAGCAAACAGG